RNAcentral lists this non-coding RNA (45 nucleotides) under Schistosoma curassoni. The record is from RNAcentral. Lineage: Eukaryota; Metazoa; Platyhelminthes; Trematoda; Strigeidida; Schistosomatidae.
AUCCAACUGAGAAGUCCCAAAUAGGAUAAGACGCACGUCCUGGAU